UCAUCUUUGCACUACGGCCAAAGAUAUUCAUCAACAGACCAUCUUUGCACUACAGGCCAAAGAUAUUCAACAACAGGUCAUCUUUGCACUACGGGCCAAAGAUAUUCAUCAACAAUUCAUCUUUCCACUACAGGCCAAAGAUAUUCAUCAACAGUUCAUAUUCGCACUACAAGCCAAAUAUAUUCAUCAACAGUUCAUAUUUAACUACAG
Molecule: long non-coding RNA, 210 nt
Filed under: Panax ginseng (ginseng)
Lineage: Eukaryota; Viridiplantae; Streptophyta; Magnoliopsida; Apiales; Araliaceae
Description: long non-coding RNA (PGIN_LNC008377)
Source: RNAcentral